UACGUAAAAUUAGGCUGCCGUUGGGAAUAAUAUUUAUCCAAAUCCCCGCUUCCGAGUGUUUUUCCGCAUGUGUGCAUCGCUUUAAAAUAUAAAUCAAAUUAACCUACCUUGGCCACCAAACAGGAAACGCGUUAUCCCGUGCAAACUGUAUUCAUGCACAGCUGCGUAACACUUCUCCACGUGUGUUCUUUCGAGCUAAGGGGAGAUAUAAAGGAGACACACUGUCCUGCCCUAAUCAUUCUUGAAGCUGCUGUGCGAUCGAAUAUUUAGUCUCUUUCGAGCAUUUUGUCUUUUCAGGAAACAAAGUCAGGCUCAUUGCUAAGAUGAAGUUCACCUCUGCCACCUUGCUCCUUGCAGUACUAGCAGCGUUCCUCGCCGUGAUGACUGCAGCAGAGGAGAGAACCGAUAAAUCGGUCAGCCAAUGCCAAAUUGGCAGCGGAUGCCCAGACCCCGUCGCCUGCACUAAAAGCUGCAAGGACAAGGGUGUCGCAAUAGGCCUAUGCGUUGACCUACUGCAGCUGAAAGGCUGUCUGUGCCUACUCUAAAUGUGGCUGAAGUCCUCGAAUCUCUGGCAAGACCUCGCUACACGUUGGCUCAAUAAAUGCAUCCCGUCUUACAUU
Molecule: long non-coding RNA, 620 nt
Organism: Dermacentor silvarum
Lineage: Eukaryota; Metazoa; Arthropoda; Arachnida; Ixodida; Ixodidae
Exons: 4
Source: RefSeq, a predicted model, not a curated record